CAUGACUCUGGAUAUCCUUCAGGAUCUGCCGGGUGUCGGCCGGUGGUCUUUUUCAUCAGGCAUGCUGGGUUGCAGCCCUGCAGGGAGAUGUAGUGUCUCAGCAUUAAGGAAAGCUUUUGCUUUCUGUCUGAGCUGCUCCAGCAGCCUCCCUCCUUGAGUCUCUUAAGCCAACCGAAUUGAGAUAGAUGUCCCCCUAGAGCCGUCUGGUCAAGGUGUCUACCAAUUAAAA
Long non-coding RNA from Perca fluviatilis (European perch), 229 nucleotides. RefSeq lists it as uncharacterized. The record is from RefSeq and is a predicted model, not a curated record. The transcript has 3 exons. NCBI's taxonomy places the organism in Eukaryota, Metazoa, Chordata, Actinopteri, Perciformes, Percidae.